Molecule: ribosomal RNA, 484 nt
Filed under: uncultured bacterium
Lineage: Bacteria
Description: partial 16S ribosomal RNA
Rfam family: Bacterial small subunit ribosomal RNA
Source: RNAcentral
AUUGAACGCUGGCGGCAGGCCUAACACAUGCAAGUCGAGCGGAUGAAGGGAGCUUGCUCCUGGAUUCAGCGGCGGACGGGUGAGUAAUGCCUAGGAAUCUGCCUGGUAGUGGGGGAUAACGUCCGGAAACGGGCGCUAAUACCGCAUACGUCCUGAGGGAGAAAGUGGGGGAUCUUCGGACCUCACGCUAUCAGAUGAGCCUAGGUCGGAUUAGCUAGUUGGGGGGGUAAAGGCCUACCAAGCCGACGAUCCGUAACUGGUCUGAGAGGAUGAUCAGUCACACUGGAACUGAGACACGGUCCAGACUCCUACGGGAGGCAGCAGUGGGGAAUAUUGGACAAUGGGCGAAAGCCUGAUCCAGCCAUGCCGCGUGUGUGAAGAAGGUCUUCGGAUUGUAAAGCACUUUAAGUUGGGAGGAAGGGCAGUAAGUUAAUACCUUGCUGUUUUGACGUUACCAACAGAAUAAGCACCGGCUAACUUCGUG